CGGCGGACGGGUGAGUAACGCGUGGGUAACCUGCCUCAUACAGGGGGAUAACAGUUAGAAAUGACUGCUAAUACCGCAUAAGACCACGGUACCGCACGGUACAGUGGUAAAAACUCCGGUGGUAUGAGAUGGACCCGCGUCUGAUUAGGUAGUUGGUGGGGUAACGGCCUACCAAGCCGACGAUCAGUAGCCGACCUGAGAGGGUGACCGGCCACAUUGGGACUGAGACACGGCCCAG
This 238-nucleotide ribosomal RNA is filed under the name uncultured bacterium. RNAcentral's name for it is "partial 16S ribosomal RNA". It matches the Rfam family "Bacterial small subunit ribosomal RNA", at positions 96 to 334 of the family's 1533-position model. The record is from RNAcentral.